CUGGAAUAUCUACCUUUUGACAUGGGAUAAGCAAAUUUUGAGCAUAGAGUCAAUACAUGGAAGAGACCAGAGCCUAAAGAAUUAUAAGAAUUUAGAGGUAGAGCAGAAUUCAGUGACCUUUUUAUGUAAAAGGCCAGAUCACAAAUAUUUUAGGCUUUGUGGCCUAUGGUCUGUGUCAUAACUACUCAUCUCUCCUGUUGCAGCACGAAAGUGGCCACAGACAAUACACACAUGAAUGGCCAAGGUGUGUUCCAAUAAAACUUUAUUUACAAAAAAGAAAAAGAAAACAAAAAACAAAAAACGAAAGAAGAGAGCUGCAGUCCAGAUUUGGUUUGUGGGUUGUAGUUGCCAAGCCCUGAACUAGAACCUACCUUGAUGAAAGCUAGAAGGGAAGAGGACACAUGAGAAAGAAAACUUGAUGGCAGAGACAAUGAAAGAAAGCUGUUAAAACUUUAAAAACUCAAAAAAGCCUGCUUGAAUAAUAGAGUUGAUAACAUAUUAAGACCUUGACCAACAAAUCUUCAAGAUACUGGAGACCUUGGCCAGUCAUCUGAGAUAUCACCUUACUGGCAAGACUACAUGGCACUUAGACCACACUGCUUAAUGGACUCCUGUGAGAGGAAAGGGGUUGGCUCAUCAAGCAAGAUGGUCUCUCUGAAUCAGAUCUGCUUGGUGCAAGUGCGAAAGAGACCACAGAUGGAAGCUCACAGAUGGAAGCCUGCUGAUCAUACAGCUGUUUCUUUGUUGGUCCCACUGAUCUUCCCGGGAAGGAAAUGGACAGCUGUCACACUCUGGCCCACUAGGCAUUGGUUGCCAACUGGGAAAGUCAUCAGAAAACUUCCUUGAAAUGGUCAUUGGGUAAGUCAUUUGGAUAUUGCUCUCAGCUACAUCUGUUCCUCAUACUGAGAGUCAGUGUGUUGGUUUCCUAAGGGCUGGCUCUUAAAUCUACCAUAUCUUGUUUUAAUAAUGAACACAAUCAGAUUUGUUUGGACUUUGGAAAAUUAUACCCGCUGAAGCCCCAAUUUUUUCAUGCAGGUAGAGUCUAAUAAAACAAUUUUUAGGGGUAGAAUGAAAGGUCCA
RNAcentral lists this long non-coding RNA (1080 nucleotides) under Vulpes vulpes (red fox). RNAcentral's name for it is "lncRNA (ENSVVUG00000006522.1)". The record is from RNAcentral. Lineage: Eukaryota; Metazoa; Chordata; Mammalia; Carnivora; Canidae.